This 538-nucleotide ribosomal RNA is filed under the name Clostridiales bacterium oral taxon 093. Its description in RNAcentral is "bacterial SSU rRNA". It matches the Rfam family "Bacterial small subunit ribosomal RNA", at positions 377 to 926 of the family's 1533-position model. Lineage: Bacteria; Bacillati; Bacillota; Clostridia; Eubacteriales. The record is from RNAcentral.
GAAACUCUGACCCAGACAAUGCCGCGUGAGACGAUGAAGGUGAGCGAUUGUAAAGCUCUUUUCCUGGGAACGAAACAAAUGACGGUACCCAGGGAAAUAAGACCCCGGCUAACUACGUGCCAGCAGCCGCGGUAAUACGUAGGGGGCGAGCGUUGUCCGGAAUGACUGGGCGUAAAGGGUGCGUAGGUGGUUUAAUAAGUUAGAAGUGUAAUACCCAGGGCUUAACUCGGGUGCUGCUUCUAAAACUGUUAGGCUUGAGUGUAGUAGAGGAAAGCGGAAUUCAAUGUGUAGCGGUGGAAUGCGUAGAUAUAUUGAAGAACAUCAGUGGCGAAGGCGGCUUUCUGGACUAUAACUGACACUGAGCACGAAAGCGUGGGGAGCAACAGGAUUAGAUACCCUGGUAGUCCACGCCGUAAACGAUGGAUACUAGAUGCAGGAGGUAUUCACUCCUUCUGUGUCGCAGCUAACGCAAUAAGUAUCCCGCCCUGGGGAGUACGAUCGCAAGAUUAAAACUCAAAGGAAUUGACGGGGACCGCAC